Molecule: non-coding RNA, 1429 nt
Organism: Odocoileus virginianus texanus
Lineage: Eukaryota; Metazoa; Chordata; Mammalia; Artiodactyla; Cervidae
Source: RefSeq, a predicted model, not a curated record
UUUGCCUCAGGGCUGCGCGUGGGCCCGGCGGCGGUUGCUGUGCUCCACGCGUCGCUCCCUGGGCAGCGGAAGCUGCUGUAGCGAUUAGUACUCGCAAAUAAGAAAGAAGAGGUUUGUCAGUCAAGAGUGACAGAAAAAAUCAUUUUAUUAAGCGCAGAUUCUCGUACAGGUGGUGAAUAUCUGCAAAUGAACGUUCGCAAGCUCCUGUGAUUGGAGGUGUGCUCCAGGAUUGGUUCCUGACACUGGAAGGCUCACCUCCCUCCUCCCGUGCCCCUCACCCCUCCUGUUUCUGUCGGCUUUGAUCGCCGUGGACAAGCCCUUCAGAUCAGUGCUUCUGAAGGAUUGAGGGCUGUUGUUGCACAGAUGCUGAGAGCUCCAAGAUCAAGGUGCCAGCAGAUUUAGUGUCUGGUGAGGGCUCAAGUCUUGGUUCAUAUGUGUCUGAAAAAGGCAGGGGGGUUCUCUGGGUCUCUCUUAUAGAUUGCAUUCGCUGGGUCUCUUUUUAUGAUUGCAUUCAUGUGUGCUCUGCCCUCAUGAACUAAUCACCUCCCAAAGGCCCACCUCUUAAUACCACCAUCACAUUGGGGGUUAGGAUUUCUACAUAUGGAUUUUGAGGAGUUACAAAUAUUCAGUCUAUAGCAAUACUAGAGAAGCAUAGUAGCAUAGCCGGGCAAAAUUGAGUGGACAUUUGAUGUUUGUGGCCUUGUGAGUAUGUUGCUGAGAUAGGGUGGAAAAAGGAUCAUAGGAGCCAAGGAGAUCAAGAAACUGAAAGAUGAGAGUGGUGGGUGGGCGGACUGCCUGGGUGUCGGUAGAUAGGUUAGUAGCUGACCUAGUCCUUGAAUCCAGAUAUCCUGCCUUAGCAUAAUGUGGUACCAUUUUACUGAGAAAUUAUUCAAAUUGUUACUGUUUUGUGCCACCUACACUUCCAAUUAACAUUUUCUCAAAAAUUGUGGCCUGGUAUUUUUUUGUUCCAUAUGUCUAAAUUCUAGACUUUCAAUGACUGAUAUUUUUAACUCUUGUCCCUUUAAUAUUUACUUGUUAAAUUUUUUGGCUUGUUUAUCUGCCUGUGUGUGUAUUUUGUUUUUGUUUUAAAUCAGAUUUAUUAUCAUUUAUAUAUCAUACUAUUCAUAACCUAUUUAUUUAAAGUAUACAUUUCAGUGCUUUUGGUGUAUUCACAGAUAUGAAUAACUAUCGCUGUGGUUUUGGAACAUUUUCAUCACCUUAAAAAGAAAUGCCAUGCCUUGUUGCUAAAAUCUUUGUGUCCUCCCCAUUCCUAACCCUACGCAACUACUAAUCUACUUUCUGUCUCUGUAGAUUUCCCUGUUAUAUACUUUCACAUAAAUGGAUAAUAUGUAAUCUUUUGUGAUUGGCUUUUUUCAUUUAGUAUUAUGUUUUCAAGGUUUAUCAUAACAUGUAUUUUUAAUGGCUGGAU